AUGAACGCUGGCGGCGUGUCUUAGGCAUGCAAGUCGAUCGUGAACCCCGCGCAAGCGGGGCCGAACGAGGCAAACGGGUGCGUAAGACAGUGGUAAUUUACCCUGAAGUCUUGAACAACUCCGCGAAAGUGGAGCUAAUACAAGAUAAGCAAGGGGGGACAUAAGUCAUUCCCUUGUAAAGUUUUAAUGCUUCAGGAAAAGCCUUUGGCCUAUCAGGUAGUUGGUGAGGUAAUAGCUCACCAAGCCUAUGACGGGUAGGGGAUGUGAGAGCAUGAUCCCCCUCACUGGGACUGAGAUACUGCCCAGACUCCUACGGGAGGCUGCAGUCGAGAAUCUUCCCCAAUGGACGAAAGUCUGAGGGAGCGACGCCGCGUGAAUGAAGAAGCCCUUCGGGGUGUAAAAUUCUUUUUCCAGGGAAAAACUAGCGAUGGUACCUGGAGAAUAAGAGGUUGCUAACUCUGU
Molecule: ribosomal RNA, 462 nt
Filed under: uncultured bacterium
Lineage: Bacteria
Description: bacterial SSU rRNA
Rfam family: Bacterial small subunit ribosomal RNA
Source: RNAcentral